AAUGCUAAAAGAAUGGAAGUUUAAGAAAAAACUUUUUUAAAAAUAAAAAUUAAAUUUUUUUUAAUUUGUGCAAAACCAAUUAUUUAUAUUAAAGACAAGAAGACCCUAUGAAUUUAUGAUUAAAUAAACUAAAAAUUUUUAGUUUAUUUAAUCUUGAUUGGGGCAAUCAAAAAAUAUUAAUAACUUUUUUAAAUUUAAAUGAUCUAUUAUUAAUAAUCUAAUGGAAUAAAUACUCUAGGGAUAACAGCGUA
RNAcentral lists this ribosomal RNA (251 nucleotides) under Hyalomma dromedarii. Its description in RNAcentral is "partial large subunit ribosomal RNA". The record is from RNAcentral. Lineage: Eukaryota; Metazoa; Arthropoda; Arachnida; Ixodida; Ixodidae.